Molecule: ribosomal RNA, 471 nt
Filed under: Oxymetopon cyanoctenosum (blue-barred ribbon goby)
Lineage: Eukaryota; Metazoa; Chordata; Actinopteri; Gobiiformes; Gobiidae
Description: partial 12S ribosomal RNA
Rfam family: Bacterial small subunit ribosomal RNA
Source: RNAcentral
CUCGCCAGGGAACAACGAGCCCCAGCUUAAAACCCAAAGGACUUGGCGGUGCUUUAGACCCCCCUAGAGGAGCCUGUUCUAGAACCGAUACUCCCCGUUCAACCUCACCCUCUCUUGUUUUCCCCGCCUAUAUACCGCCGUCGUCAGCAUACCUCGUGAGAGCCCCAUAGUAAGCAGAAUUGGCAUAGCCUAAAACGUCAGGUCGAGGUGUAGCGCACGAGGGGGGAAGAAAUGGGCUACAUUUACUGUGCUCAGUAAAUACGGAUGUUGCACUGAAAUAAGCAUCUGAAGGAGGAUUUAGCAGUAAGCGGGGAACAGAGCGCCCCCCUGAAAACGGCCCUGAAGCGCGCACACACCGCCCGUCACUCUCCCCAAACAACGCAUAAGAUAUUUAAUACACCUAGGCCCACUCAACAAGGGGAGGCAAGUCGUAACAUGGUAAGUGUACCGGAAGGUGCACUUGGAAAAACC